This is a long non-coding RNA of Ornithodoros turicata, 238 nucleotides long. RefSeq lists it as uncharacterized. Lineage: Eukaryota; Metazoa; Arthropoda; Arachnida; Ixodida; Argasidae. The transcript has 3 exons. The record is from RefSeq and is a predicted model, not a curated record.
CCGCCACAACUGAUGAAGACGACAUAUUGGGAGGCCGGAGCGUUCAAUUUCCCUUCGCAGCACAACUAGCGACACCGUCUGUGCAGUAAUGUUAUGCUAGUGGCGUUGUCGAGCCUGAUAACGACCAUUCUUCUGAGGUUUCUCGGGAGGAUGUGUGAGCACACGUGUUGACAAGAAAUUUGCCACUCCUGUGCAUUGUACUGCAAUCUCUGCUGCUCCUGACCAGAUAAGUGCAUGC